RNAcentral lists this ribosomal RNA (482 nucleotides) under uncultured bacterium. RNAcentral's name for it is "partial 16S ribosomal RNA". It matches the Rfam family "Bacterial small subunit ribosomal RNA", at positions 38 to 507 of the family's 1533-position model. The record is from RNAcentral.
GGGGGGGGGGGGGGGGGGGGGUGGGGGGGGGGGGGCGGGGGGGGGCAGGGGGCGGGGUGCUGGCGAGUGGCGAGCGGGGGGGUAGUGCAUCGGAACGGGCCCAGGCGUGGGGGAUACCUACUCGAAAGAGUAGCUAAUACGGCAUACGAGCUAUGGCUGAACGCGGGGGACCGUAGGGCCUCGCGCGAUUGGAGCGGCCGAUGUCAGAUUAGGUAGUGGGUGGGGUAAAGGCUCACCAAGCCAACGAUCUGUAGAUGGUCUGAGAGGACGACCAGCCACACUGGGACUGAGACACGGCCCAGACUCCUACGGGAGGCAGCAGUGGGGAAUUUUGGACAAUGGGCGCAAGCCUGAUCCAGCAAUGCCGCGUGCAGGAAGAAGGCCUUCGGGUUGUAAACUGCUUUUGUACGGAACGAAACGGCUCUGGUUAAUACCCGGGGCUAAUGACGGUACCGUAAGAAUAAGCACCGGCUAACUACGUG